Molecule: long non-coding RNA, 1329 nt
Organism: Carcharodon carcharias (great white shark)
Lineage: Eukaryota; Metazoa; Chordata; Chondrichthyes; Lamniformes; Lamnidae
Exons: 4
Source: RefSeq, a predicted model, not a curated record
GUGCUCGGGGCGGUGUCUUCGCUGCGGAGGCUGCGGCUGCGGCUUCGAUCCGGAGUUGCUCCAGUCGGAGAGUGAGCGAAGGUUAGCGGAAGAUUUAGCGGAAAGCAGCGACGCUGUGGGCGAUUUGCCGAUGGCGGUGGAAGUGACAAUCGAAUAUUGUUCUGGAUGAGGAUUCCUGGCCCAUUUCCUGACCCUAGCAGAUGAAAUCACGGAGCAGGUUCCUGGUGUCAAGGUUACGGGUUUCAUUGGCCAGACAGGAAGUUUUGAGGUUUCAAUUAACAACCAACUGGUUUUCUCUAAGUUGGAAUCACAUGGGUUUCCUUAUCAUAAAGAUAUCAUUAAAGCAGUAAAGUCAGCUAAAGAAGGAAGUCUUGUGAAGAAGGUUACUUACCAGGAGCAGAAGAAGGGUUGUAUCAUCAUAUAACGGAAACCAAACGAUGAGCAAAGAACCCUGAUAUAAUUUGACAGUUUUCAACCAAUGAAGCAUUAGUCUGUUCAUGACUGUUUUCCCCAAAAGUUAUCGGUGAAGACAUGAGGAAACAUCAGAAGAUGUGCUUCCCUGAUUUGGAAUCUGCUACAAAUUUUUCAGGUGUUGUGUAGAGAAUGACUGGUAUAAUAUUGUUACAAUUAAAUUGGAUUUAUCUAAUCUUUCUCAUCCUGUUCCCAUGUUAAGUAGCACACAAAAUAUCACAAGUCAGCAGCCCAGCCCACUUCAGCUCCAGAAACAAACUGUAGGUGUUACACUCAGCCCAUUGAGACAGACGUCCCAGGCUCUAUCUCAGUCCCGAGUAACUCCCUCGAGCUCAGUGGUGACGUGAAUCUGUCAAGUUGCACUCACUCUUAAAACUGAUAUCAGGAGGCUGUAAUGGGGAAGUGCUCAAUGACGUUACCGGCAUAUUAUGCCUGUGAUGCAAAGCCUCCCUUUUGAGCUGUCCUUAUGUACAAAGGAGAGAGUAGCCUUUUUGACGGUGUCUAUGUGAUCACUUUGAGAUUGAGAGCUAAGCGGAUGAAUGUUGCUCAUUUGCCAUCUCAUGGCAAACGUUGUGUGAGCUGUGCUGGUGAAAAUGUCAUGUCUGAGGAGCCACUGAACAGAUGUAUUCAUCCAAAAGUUAGGUUUCUGUAUAUGUACCUGUGAACGAGUAUUUCCAACAAAGUAAUGGCUCGAAAUGCUGGCCCACCUUUCACAUUACUCAAUAUGGUGUGCUGUUAAAUAUCCUGUAUUAUCCAGCAUGAGGGGCAGAAUCUAAGUACUUUUAUAUCUGAUGAAUUUUGUUUUUCUUCCUGGAUUAGACCUUCUCCAAACAAAAUAAAUGUUACUUUCAUUUCAAA